UACUAAGGGGGCUAGCGUUGCUCGGAAUGACUGGGCGUAAAGGGCGUGUAGGCGGACGGCUUUGUCGGGCGUGAAAUUCCAGGGCUUAACCUUGGGUCUGCGUUCGAGACGGGUUGACUAGAGUUUGGAAGAGGGUCGUGGAAUUCCCAGUGUAGAGGUGAAAUUCGUAGAUAUUGGGAAGAACACCGGUGGC
RNAcentral lists this ribosomal RNA (193 nucleotides) under uncultured prokaryote. Its description in RNAcentral is "partial 16S ribosomal RNA". It matches the Rfam family "Bacterial small subunit ribosomal RNA", at positions 524 to 716 of the family's 1533-position model. The record is from RNAcentral.